This 479-nucleotide ribosomal RNA is filed under the name uncultured bacterium. RNAcentral describes it as "SSU rRNA". It matches the Rfam family "Bacterial small subunit ribosomal RNA", at positions 26 to 518 of the family's 1533-position model. The record is from RNAcentral.
AGGACGAACGCUGGCGGCGUGCUUAACACAUGCAAGUCGAACGGUGACCUUGGAGCUUGCUCCAGGCGAUCAGUGGCGAACGGGUGAGUAACACGUGAGUAACCUGCCCCUCACUCUGGGAUAACCCCGGGAAACCGGAGCUAAUACCGGAUACGACUCAAGUAGGCAUCUACAUUGAGUGGAAAGUUUUUCGGUGAGGGAUGGACUCGCGGCCUAUCAGCUUGUUGGUGAGGUAAUGGCUCACCAAGGCGACGACGGGUAGCCGGCCUGAGAGGGUGACCGGCCACACUGGGACUGAGACACGGCCCAGACUCCUACGGGAGGCAGCAGUGGGGAAUAUUGCACAAUGGGCGCAAGCCUGAUGCAGCAACGCCGCGUGAGGGACGACGGCCUUCGGGUUGUAAACCUCUUUAGUAGGGAAGAAGCGAAAGUGACGGUACCUGCAGAAAAGCACCGGCUAACUACGCGCCAGCAGCCGC